GGAGUUGUGGCUCAGUGGCAGAGUACUUGCCUGGCAUGUGUGAGGCACUGAGUUCAAUCCUCAGCAUCACAU
Molecule: transfer RNA, 72 nt
Filed under: Ictidomys tridecemlineatus (thirteen-lined ground squirrel)
Lineage: Eukaryota; Metazoa; Chordata; Mammalia; Rodentia; Sciuridae
Description: Spermophilus tridecemlineatus (thirteen-lined ground squirrel) tRNA
Rfam family: tRNA
About the family: Transfer RNA (tRNA) molecules are approximately 80 nucleotides in length. Their secondary structure includes four short double-helical elements and three loops (D, anti-codon, and T loops).
Source: Rfam by way of RNAcentral